This 497-nucleotide ribosomal RNA is filed under the name uncultured bacterium. RNAcentral's name for it is "partial 16S ribosomal RNA". It matches the Rfam family "Bacterial small subunit ribosomal RNA", at positions 28 to 507 of the family's 1533-position model. The record is from RNAcentral.
GAUGAACGCUGGCGGCGUGCCUAAUACAUGCAAGUCGAGCGAACAGACGAGGAGCUUGCUCCUCUUACGUUAGCGGCGGACGGGUGAGUAACACGUGGAUAACCUACCUAUAAGACUGGGAUAACUUCGGGAAACCGGAGCUAAUACCGGAUAAUAUAUUGAACCGCAUGGUUCAAUAGUGAAAGACGGUUUUGCUGUCACUUAUAGAUGGAUCCACGCCGCAUUAGCUAGUUGGUAAGGUAACGGCUUACCAAGGCGACGAUGUGUAGCCGACCUGAGAGGAUGAUCGGCCACACUGGAACUGAGACACGGUCCAGACUCCUACGGGAGGCAGCAGUAGGGAAUCUUCCGCAAUGGGCGAAAGCCUGACGGAGCAACGCCGCGUGAGUGAUGAAGGUCUUCGGAUCGUAAAACUCUGUUAUUAGGGAAGAACAAAUGUGUAAGUAACUAUGCACGUCUUGACGGUACCUAAUCAGAAAGCCACGGCUAACUACGUG